Molecule: unclassified non-coding RNA, 263 nt
Filed under: plant metagenome
Description: partial contains small subunit ribosomal RNA, internal transcribed spacer 1, and 5.8S ribosomal RNA
Source: RNAcentral
UUUCCGUAGGUGAACCUGCGGAAGGAUCAUUAUUGUAUAACCGAGGUGCGAGGGCUGUCGCUGACCCGAAAGGUCGUGCACGCCCGAGUGCCCUCACUCACAUCCAUCUCACCCCUAUGUGCACCACCGCGUGGAUCCCCCUUUGGCUUGUUCGGAGGGGGGCUUACGUUUUCACACAAACUUUGUAUGCAGUGUAGAAUGUAUUUUUUGUUUUUGCGAUCACGCAAUCAAUACAACUUUCAACAACGGAUCUCUUGGCUCUC